GACGAACGCUGGCGGCGUGCCUAAUACAUGCAAGUCGAGCGGACGAAUCGAAAGCUUGCUUUUGAUUCGUUAGCGGCGGACGGGUGAGUAACACGUGGGCAACCUGCCCUGUAGACGGGGAUAACACCGAGAAAUCGGUGCUAAUACCGGAUAACACGAAAUGUCGCAUGACGUUUCGUUGAAAGACGGCGCAAGCUGUCGCUACAGGAUGGGCCCGCGGCGCAUUAGCUAGUUGGUGAGGUAACGGCUCACCAAGGCGACGAUGCGUAGCCGACCUGAGAGGGUGAUCGGCCACACUGGGAAUGAGACACGGCCCAGACUCCUACGGGAGGCAGCAGUAGGGAAUCUUCCGCAAUGGACGAAAGUCUGACGGAGCAACGCCGCGUGAGCGAAGAAGGCCUUCGGGUCGUAAAGCUCUGUUGUUAGGGAAGAACAAGUAACGCAGUAACUGGCGUUACCGUGACGGUACCUAACGAGAAAGCCACGGCUAACUACGUG
Molecule: ribosomal RNA, 498 nt
Filed under: uncultured bacterium
Lineage: Bacteria
Description: partial 16S ribosomal RNA
Rfam family: Bacterial small subunit ribosomal RNA
Source: RNAcentral